GACGAACGCUGGCGGCGUGCCUAACACAUGCAAGUCGAACGAAACUUCUUUAAAGGAUUUCUUCGGAAUGAAUUUGAUUAAGUUUAGUGGCGGACGGGUGAGUAACGCGUGAGUAACCUGCCUCUAAGAGGGGAAUAACAUUCUGAAAAGAAUGCUAAUACCGCAUAACAUAUAUUUAUCGCAUGGUAGAUAUAUCAAAGAUUUAUCGCUUAGAGAUGGACUCGCGUCCGAUUAGUUAGUUGGUGAGGUAACGGCUCACCAAGACCGCGAUCGGUAGCCGGACUGAGAGGUUGAACGGCCACAUUGGGACUGAGACACGGCCCAGACUCCUACGGGAGGCAGCAGUGGGGGAUAUUGCGCAAUGGGGGAAACCCUGACGCAGCAACGCCGCGUGAAGGAUGAAGGUCUUCGGAUUGUAAACUUCUUUUAUUAAGGACGAAGAAAGUGACGGUACUUAAUGAAUAAGCUCCGGCUA
This 475-nucleotide ribosomal RNA is filed under the name uncultured bacterium. RNAcentral describes it as "bacterial SSU rRNA". It matches the Rfam family "Bacterial small subunit ribosomal RNA", at positions 28 to 499 of the family's 1533-position model. The record is from RNAcentral.